UACGUAGGGUGCAAGCGUUGUCCGGAAUUAUUGGGCGUAAAGAGCUCGUAGGCGGCCAACUAAGUCAGACGUGAAAUCCCUCGGCUUAACCGGGGAACUGCGUCCGAUACUGGUUGGCUUGAAUCCGGGAGAGGGAUGUGGAAUUCCAGGUGUAGCGGUGAAAUGCGUAGAUAUCUGGAGGAACACCGGUGGCGAAGGCGGCAUCCUGGACCGGUAUUGACGCUGAGGAGCGAAAGCCAGGGGAGCAAACGGG
This 253-nucleotide ribosomal RNA is filed under the name uncultured bacterium. RNAcentral describes it as "partial 16S ribosomal RNA". It matches the Rfam family "Bacterial small subunit ribosomal RNA", at positions 524 to 776 of the family's 1533-position model. The record is from RNAcentral.